UUGAGGCGACGAUCUCAGGGAGAGAGUAUUGAAGAGAUUUUGCAUAUCUCGUCUGAGCUGGCUGUUUUCCUCUUUCAUCUCCUGUAAGGCUGACAUGACUGCUUCGGAGCUGAGGGUUUGAGACGCAGGACUCACUGGAGUUGGAGAGAAGACUGCUGCAGGAGGUGGGAUAGCUGCACCCUCGAUGGAGUGGUCAUGGAGUGUAAGAGAAGGAAGAUGGCGUGGCGGGAGAGUAACCAUGAAGUCAUCGAGGUAGCGAGGCCGACGAGCAAUCAGAAUUGAGAGAUUCUGAAACAUUUACAUUUUAUCUAGCAUUUGACUAUUUAUAAAUACGUACAUAUAUAUGUCCUGUACAGAUCUUUUCCAGGAUAUUUCAGAUCAAACUUCAGUCGAGGUAAAAAGAGGUGUUUAACUUCCACCAAGCAGCUUCCUAGGACAACCAGCAAGACCAUCACUCUCAAUUUUUAUCUGCUUCCAAAAAACACAUCUUUGCCAGUUGCCAGCUUGAAGCUUCAAGCUGGCAUGGGAAGACAAACAGUGUCGCUGCCUGACGACAGUGACCAUGCAGCGGUACACUAGUCAGUUCAGAGUUCUGACUUUUAGUGUUUAAGGUGGUCACUGGGCCCCACAUUUAAGCCAAAUUAUAUGUUAAAGUCUAUAUUGAAGUGUUUUAUUUCUCUCUCUCGUUACUUUAUUGUCAAGAUUUCAAAGGUCCUGGCUGAAGCAUUCCCAAAAAUGGAAGAUCUUUAUGGGGGAUGGCUCUUGCAUAAGGCAACAGGUGGCAGUGGUCGACGGAAACUCACUGUAAUUCCACCAGAAGCAGAGGGUUAUUCUGUCAAAACUCUUAAGAGCUCAGUCAGGAGGGGGCAAAGCCACUUUUUACAUAGUGCCACUACAGGAGACAUUAGACACUUCUCCUCUGCCUCCUGGCUCACAGCACUUUUCAAAGAUGCCAAAGAAGACAUGUUACCAGUGUAAUGAAGUGAUGCCUCUGCAGAUGCUUGCAAUACACAUUAAGACAUGCAGAGGAAAAUCGCUUUGUGAUGAGACUGAUGAAGAGGUGAGAAAAAAUAGUUUUUGUUUCAUUAUGAUGGAAAUGACAAAACAUACAGUGUUUUUUAAAGUGGCCGUUUUGUAAAUCUGCAGUACUCUGAGCUAAGCAUUGUGGAACGCAGUUGCAAGGUAAACUCAGCACAUCAAUAAAAUCCAAAAUCACAAUGUUCAUUUUGAACCAGUCUUAGCUGCUUGUAACAUGUAACUUUAAAACAAAUUUCAUAUGAUUUGUCCAAUUUGCAACAAGGACUUUCCACAAGAGAUCGCAGUUCAUGCUAGUGUAUGUGGAGAGAGCUCUGAAUGGGCAGUGCCUGAAGCAAAAGAUCCCUGUUUGCCUUCUCAAACAGCAGUAUGCACACCAGACAGCAUGGAAGAUGUAUUACGCUUCCUUGAAAAACAGGUUGACACCACAACAGAAUUUAAAUUGUGUAUGAACAGAGAAGACCUUCCAGACAGAGGUAUUCUCCAGUGGCAGAGAAAAAAACUGCAUCUCCCAUGAGUGCUCUGAAGGUGGUGUACAUAGGCGAGGCAGGUGUUGAUACAGGAGCACUAAAGAAAAAGUUUUUGACAGAUAUGAUAUCAGGUAUCGAAAACAGAUUCUUCGAAGGACCUGGAAGCCAGGGAAAAAAUCCCAAGUACUCUUUGACAGACCUUGAUGAUGAAAACUUCAGAACUGUUGGUGAAAUAAUUGCAGUCAGUCUGGCCCAAGGUGGCCCAGCUCCUGCUUUUUUCAAAGAGUGGUGCUACCGUUUCCUGUGCACAGGAGAGGUGGACUUCAGUUAUUUAUCCAAGGAGGAUGUGGCUGACCAAGAAUCUUCCCUACUCAUCAGCAGUGUUGAAGAUGUGGCUGAUGCACAGUCUCUGAUGUUGUUGGCUGAUAAAGUUAUAAACUGUGGAUACACAAGCCAAAUCAAGCUGGAUAGUAAGGAAAACAUCAUUC
Long non-coding RNA from Amphiprion ocellaris (clown anemonefish), 1993 nucleotides. RefSeq lists it as uncharacterized. The record is from RefSeq and is a predicted model, not a curated record. NCBI's taxonomy places the organism in Eukaryota, Metazoa, Chordata, Actinopteri, Pomacentridae. The transcript has 7 exons.